UCUCACUCUUUCAAGAAAAAUGGGGGCUUUCAUUUUCUCUCUCUUCUUGUGUGAAAAUAACCCUUUCUUCUUAGUGAUUUUAGGGUUAAUUUCCUGGAGGCCUUUUCUAAAAAUAAUCAUAGAAAACAGCAUGAAUUACUCAAGAUCUAUAUGGGUGUUGUGCUAUUUUGGUCUUUGUUGAGUCGAAUCCGUGUGACUCUUCGCUGGCCAGAUUUUCUUGUGAAAACUUAGUGUUUUUCGGCUAUUUUUGUAUACUUUAGAGGCUGAUUUUGUAUGGUUCCUUAGUGGACAGUGAUAUAAUGUGAAAUAGCACCCGAUUUUUUGUGAUUCUUGAGAAGGCAGCUUCGGUCAUGAGAGAAAUCUUAGUGAUUCAGUGAUAUUCCUUUGUGGAAUAGUAGUCGGUUCUAUAGUUCUUUAUGACAUAAGUCUUUGUAACUAAUUUGUUGUAAUAUUCUGAAAUAAUAUUGUAUAUUUGCUGCCUGAUUUUCGGGCUUUAUAGUGUAACCGAGUUUUAUCCAUUUUAAUGGAUGCUUUAUAGGGGAUUAGAUGUUAGAAGUGGUCACCGAACCUCUAGGGCUUCGGUCGAAAAAUUCUUUGUGUUCAUUUUUAUUUCCUACACUUUAUUUUCAUUUUAUGAUUG
Molecule: long non-coding RNA, 640 nt
Filed under: Olea europaea subsp. europaea
Lineage: Eukaryota; Viridiplantae; Streptophyta; Magnoliopsida; Lamiales; Oleaceae
Source: RNAcentral